This 250-nucleotide ribosomal RNA is filed under the name uncultured bacterium. RNAcentral's name for it is "partial 16S ribosomal RNA". It matches the Rfam family "Archaeal small subunit ribosomal RNA", at positions 474 to 723 of the family's 1478-position model. The record is from RNAcentral.
CACCGGCAGCUCGAGUGGUAGCCGCGUUUAUUGGGCCUAAAGCGUCCGUAGCCGGUCCGAUAAGUCUCUGGUGAAAGCCCACAGCUUAACUGUGGGAAUCGCUGGAGAUACUAUCGGACUUGAGGCCGGGAGAGGCUGGAGGUACUCCCAGGGUAGGGGUGAAAUCCUAUAAUCCUGGGAGGACCACCUGUGGCGAAGGCGUCCAGCUGGAACGGACCUGACGGUGAGGGACGAAAGCCAGGGGCGCGAA